RNAcentral lists this ribosomal RNA (898 nucleotides) under Thermotogae bacterium enrichment culture clone L11_2_60. Its description in RNAcentral is "bacterial SSU rRNA". It matches the Rfam family "Bacterial small subunit ribosomal RNA", at positions 8 to 916 of the family's 1533-position model. The record is from RNAcentral. Lineage: Bacteria; Thermotogati; Thermotogota; Thermotogae.
AGAGUUUGAUCCUGGCUCAGGGUGAACGCUGGCGGCGUGCUUGACACAUGCAAGUCGAACGGUAUGUGGCAACACAUAGAGUGGCGAACGGGUGAGUAACACGUGGGAACGUAUCUUUUGCAGGGGGAUAACUGACCGAAAGGACAGCUAAUACCGCAUAAGUCCGAGAGGAGAAAGGUGCAACAGCAUCGGCAGAAGAGCGGCCCGCGGUCCAUCAGCUAGUUGGUGAGGUAAGGGCUUACCAAGGCGACGACGGAUAGCCGGCGUGAGAGCGUGGCCGGCCACAAGGACACUGAGAUACGGGUCCUACUCCUACGGGAGGCAGCAGUGCGGAAUUUUAGAUAAUGGAGGGAACUCUGAUCUAGCGACGCCGCGUGCAGGAAGAAGGUCUUCGGAUUGUAAACUGCUGUGGUAAGGGAAAAAUGCUAUGUAGAGUGGAAAGCUACAUAGAGGGAUGGUACCUUACUAGAAAGCCCCGGCUAACUACGUGCCAGCAGCCGCGGUAAUACGUAGGGGGCGAGCGUUACCCGGAAUCACUGGGCGUAAAGGGAGCGUAGGUGGCCUAACAUGUCAACUGUGAAAACCCGGAGCUCAACUCCGGACUUGCAGUUGAAACUGGUAGGCUUGAGGACGGUAGAGGAAGACGGAACUGCCAGUGUAGGGGUAAAAUCCUUAGAUAUUGGCAGGAACGCCGGUGACGAAGGUGGUUUUCUGGGCCGGUUCUGACACUGAUGCUCGAAAGCCAGGGGAGCGAACGGGAUUAGAUACCCCGGUAGUCCUGGCCCUAAACGAUGUUCACUAGGUGUGGGGAGCGGAAAGCUCUCCGUGCUAAAGCUAACGCGAUAAGUGAACCGCCUGGGGAGUACGCCCGCAAGGGUGAAACUCAAUGAAUUGACGG